Molecule: ribosomal RNA, 497 nt
Filed under: uncultured bacterium
Lineage: Bacteria
Description: partial 16S ribosomal RNA
Rfam family: Bacterial small subunit ribosomal RNA
Source: RNAcentral
GAUGAACGCUGGCGGCGUGCCUAAUACAUGCAAGUCGAGCGGACAGACGAGGAGCUUUCUGCUCUGACGGGAGCGGCGGAGAGGGGGGGAGCACGUGGAUAACCUACCGAUAAGACUGGGAGGACAUCGGGAAACCGGAGCGAAUACCAGGUGAUAUAUUGGACCUCAUGGUUGAAUGGUGAGGGACGGUUUUUCUUUCGCUGAGAGAUGGAUCCGCGCCGCAUUAGCUAGUUGGUAAGGUAACGGCUUACCAAGGCAACGAUGCGUAGCCGACCUGAGAGGGUGAUCGGCCACACUGGAACUGAGACACGGUCCAGACUCCUACGGGAGGCAGCAGGAGGGAAUCUUCCGCACUGGGCGAAAGCCUGACGGAGCAACGCCGCGUGAGUGAUGAAGGUAUUCGGAUCGUAAAACUCUGUUAUUAGGGAAGAACAAAUGUGUAAGUAACUAUGCACGUCUUGAAGGUAACUAAUCAGAAAGCCACGGCUAAAUACGUG